RNAcentral lists this ribosomal RNA (606 nucleotides) under Triticum aestivum (bread wheat). RNAcentral's name for it is "partial small subunit ribosomal RNA". Lineage: Eukaryota; Viridiplantae; Streptophyta; Magnoliopsida; Poales; Poaceae. The record is from RNAcentral.
AUGGCCGUGGUGUUGAGGGUGCUGGUUAUGUCCCCUGGCCCUAGUAAUGCUAGUGCUUCACAGAGGCAGGGUUUUGGUAUUGAUGUUGCUGUUUCAGCAUUGGAGCGCGCUGAGCAUAUCUUAAGUAAUGUGUGUUCUGAGCUGCAAAAGGUCCCAAUGACAGUUGAGCAUCUGAGAUGUAUCAAUGGUAUCCUUCCUGAAGGUCAUCAAUUUAAUGCUGAGGAAGCUAUUGACUACAUUGAGAUGGAGAGAAUUUUAAUCGAUGAUAUGCGUGACGGUGCCGCUGAUCUAGUUCAGAGCUCGGUUCGUCUGUUGAACAACAUGAAGCGUUUGAGAACUACGCAAAACUCUUGCUGCAAGCCAUAUGAAGAAAGUGCAAAUGUUGUUAUCAAGCAGUUUGAGCAGGAUGAGGCUGCUGCCACCGACUGCAGGGCUGGUGAUGGUACUGAGGCUAAUGUUUCUGAUCACAAAAUGAAUGAUGUUGGCUUGGAGCGUCCUGAUGUUGAUAUUGAUCAGGAUGAGGCUGCUGGCACCGACAGCAGGGCUGAUGAUGGUACUGAGGCUAAUGUUUCUGAUCAGCAUAUGAACGAUGUUGGCUUGCAGUAG